Molecule: long non-coding RNA, 479 nt
Filed under: Brassica rapa (field mustard)
Lineage: Eukaryota; Viridiplantae; Streptophyta; Magnoliopsida; Brassicales; Brassicaceae
Description: long non-coding RNA (BRAP_LNC006467)
Source: RNAcentral
AUUAUUUCAUUUUCUUUUUCAGUAGAAACUUUCAUUAAUAACCAAUAAGAGCCAUGGAUUAUGUAGUGGAAGAUGUAUCAGGAGCAUCCAUGGAUUAUGAUCUGGAAGAUGCAUUAGAAGAGACGUCUGAAUGGUAUGGUCAGAUAAAUGUGCUCCGUUUUGGUCCUUAACCCGGAACGGUUUGGAGUUUAGUUUUAAGAAAUCUAAAGAGGUGUCUGCUGAGGAGGAGAAGGACGAGGCUGCUGACUGAGACUAGGAGUUGAAAGAUUUGGGAAAGAAUUGCACCGAACUCGAGAAAGAGAAGGCAAAGCUGUUGGCUGCAGAAAAUCAGAUUGAGAAGCUCUUGUCUUGUUUUUUUUAGCUCUUAUCUUGUUCCGAUGAUGAUGAUGAUGAUAUUUAUUGUUCUUGAGCUCUUUGUACGCCUCUUUGUGUUCUAUGGUUUGUUCGUUUGCAUAUUCCGGUAGUAAGACUGACUUUUU